UUGACCUCGGAUCAGGUAGGAAUACCCGCUGAACUUAAGCAUAUCAAUAAGCGGAGGAAAAGAAACCAACAGGGAUUGCCUCAGUAACGGCGAGUGAAGCGGCAACAGCUCAAAUUUGAAAUCUGGCCCCCAGGCCCGAGUUGUAAUUUGUAGAGGAUGCUUCUGGCGACGCGCCUUCCGAGUUCCCUGGAACGGGACGCCAAAGAGGGUGAGAGCCCCGUCCGGUCGUGCGCCUAGCCUCUGUGAAGCUCCUUCGACGAGUCGAGUAGUUUGGGAAUGCUGCUCUAAAUGGGAGGUAUACGUCUUCUAAAGCUAAAUACCGGCCAGAGACCGAUAGCGCACAAGUAGAGUGAUCGAAAGAUGAAAAGCACUUUGAAAAGAGGGUUAAAUAGUACGUGAAAUUGCUGAAAGGGAAGCGCUUAUGACCAGACUUGGGCUUGGUGAAUCAUCCGGCGUUCUCGCCGGUGCACUUUGCCGGUCCAGGCCAGCAUCAGUUCGCUCCGGGGGAUAAAGGCUUCGGGAAUGUAGCUCCUCCGGGAGUGUUAUAGACCGUUGCGCAAUACCCUGGGGUGGACUGAGGUACGCGUUCUGCAAGGAUGCUGGCGUAAUGGUCAUCAGUGACCCGUC
This 627-nucleotide ribosomal RNA is filed under the name Geosmithia obscura. Its description in RNAcentral is "eukaryotic LSU rRNA". It matches the Rfam family "Eukaryotic large subunit ribosomal RNA", at positions 1 to 653 of the family's 3401-position model. The record is from RNAcentral. Lineage: Eukaryota; Fungi; Ascomycota; Sordariomycetes; Hypocreales; Bionectriaceae.